GUCCAGACUCCUACGGGAGGCAGCAGUGGGGGAUAUUGCACAAUGGGGGGAACCCUGAUGCAGCGACGCCGCGUGGGUGAAGGAGCGUUUCGGCGCGUAAAGCCCUAUCGGCAGGGAAGAAGGAGGACGGUACCUGACUAAGAAGCCCCGGCUAACUACGUGCCAGCAGCCGCGGUAAUACGUAGGGGGCAAGCGUUAUCCGGAUUUACUGGGUGUAAAGGGAGCGUAGACGGCAUGGCAAGUCAGAUGUGAAAGCCUGGGGCUCAACCCCGGGACUGCAUUUGAAACUGUCAGGCUGGAGUGCAGGAGAGGUAAGUGGAAUUCCUAGUGUAGCGGUGAAAUGCGUAGAUAUUAGGAGGAACACCAGUGGCGAAGGCGGCUUACUGGACUGUAACUGACGUUGAGGCUCGAAAGCGUGGGGAGCAAACAGGAUUAGAUACCCGCGUA
This 447-nucleotide ribosomal RNA is filed under the name uncultured bacterium. RNAcentral's name for it is "partial 16S ribosomal RNA". It matches the Rfam family "Bacterial small subunit ribosomal RNA", at positions 329 to 792 of the family's 1533-position model. The record is from RNAcentral.